AGGGUUCGAGUUCUGGCUCAGGAUGAACGCUAGCUACAGGCUUAACACAUGCAAGUCAGGGGCAGCAUUAGAUUAGCUUGCUAAUUAGAUGGCGACCGGCGCACGAGUGAGUAACGCGUAUCCAACCUUCCCCCUGCUCAGGGAUAGCCCGGUGAAAACCGGAUUAAGACCUGAUAGUUUCACUAGAUGGCAUCUGACGGUGAAUAAAGGUUUCGGCAAGGGAUGGGGAUGCGUCUGAUUAGCUUGUUGGCGGGGUAACGGCCCACCAAGGCGACGAUCAGUAGGGGUUCUGAGAGGAAGGUCCCCCACAUUGGAACUGAGACACGGUCCAAACUCCUACGGGAGGCAGCAGUGAGGAAUAUUGGUCAAUGGGCGGAAGCCUGAACCAGCCAAGUAGCGUGCCAGGAAGACGGCCCUAUGGGUUGUAAACUGCUUUUGUGCGGGAAUAAAGUCAGGGACGCGUCCCUGUUUGCAUGUACCGCAAGAAUAAGGACCGGCUAAUUCCGUGCCAGCAGCUGC
RNAcentral lists this ribosomal RNA (519 nucleotides) under uncultured bacterium. RNAcentral's name for it is "bacterial SSU rRNA". It matches the Rfam family "Bacterial small subunit ribosomal RNA", at positions 1 to 518 of the family's 1533-position model. The record is from RNAcentral.